UACAGAGGUCCCAAGCGUUGUUCGGAUUCACUGGGCGUAAAGGGUGCGUAGGUGGCCAGGUAAGUCUGAUGUGAAAUCUCGAAGCCUAACUUCGAAACUGCAUCGGAUACUAUCUGGCUGGAGGUCUGGAGGGGGGACUGGAAUUCUCGGUGUAGCAGUGAAAUGCGUAGAUAUCGAGAGGAACGCCAAUGGCGAAGGCUAGUCCCUGGACAGAUCCUGACACUGAGGCACGAAAGCUAGGGGAGCAAACAGG
This 253-nucleotide ribosomal RNA is filed under the name uncultured bacterium. RNAcentral describes it as "partial 16S ribosomal RNA". It matches the Rfam family "Bacterial small subunit ribosomal RNA", at positions 524 to 776 of the family's 1533-position model. The record is from RNAcentral.